Molecule: unclassified non-coding RNA, 480 nt
Filed under: Hevea brasiliensis (rubber tree)
Lineage: Eukaryota; Viridiplantae; Streptophyta; Magnoliopsida; Malpighiales; Euphorbiaceae
Source: RNAcentral
CUCUCUUUCUCUCUUCUUCUUCUUCUUCCUUCUUUCACCAUUAGCAUCCCUUCUCAAAACUUAAUUUCUUACUUUUCUUGCAUGGGUUCUCCAUCUAAAUAGUAGAAAACACCAAAGUGACCUUUGAUUGAGGGAUUGAAGCAAGAAGAAUAAGAGAUUCUGAAGGGAAAUUGAAGAUUAGAAGUUGGUCACUUGAGGUAAGGAAAAGGAGAAGGCUAACGAGUAAAAGACUUGGGAGCAGCAUUUUGUAUUGACUAUGGGUAUAUAUAAUAGGUAUACCCCUGUAAUUCCUUUUGAUGUAUUUUGUAGCUAUAUGUAUGAUGUACGAACAUUGAGCAGUUUGUAUUAAAAAGUAUUCCAUUGCUAUAACAUUACGAGAUUGUAAAUAUUUGUAUUUCAUUUUGAGACUCAUGUAAAUGUAGUUUUUGUAACAUUAAGUUUAUUAUCUCUAAUGAAUAAAGCAUUUGAAAUGUAAACGAA